Hemibagrus wyckioides is the source of this 115-nucleotide small nuclear RNA. RefSeq annotates it as U5 spliceosomal RNA. The record is from RefSeq and is a predicted model, not a curated record. The transcript has a single exon. NCBI's taxonomy places the organism in Eukaryota, Metazoa, Chordata, Actinopteri, Siluriformes, Bagridae.
UAGCUGUGGUUUCUCUUAAGUCAUGCAUGAAUCUUUCGUCUUUUGUUAAAGAUUUCCGUGGAGUGGAACAUCAUUUAGUUUAAUGUAUUUACUUGUGCUUUGUUCUGGCAAUGCU